Molecule: long non-coding RNA, 511 nt
Filed under: Homo sapiens (human)
Lineage: Eukaryota; Metazoa; Chordata; Mammalia; Primates; Hominidae
Description: non-protein coding lnc-LRRC18-2:1
Source: RNAcentral
CAUCUAUCAAAUCAGCCCUGCCUCAAAGUUCAGCUCACCCACCAGGAAUAAAACAUUUUCUACUGAAAAUGAAGAUAGAUAAUUUAAAGUGUAGAAAGAAAAAAUCAAAUUGAAGGGAAAGUGGGGUCAGUGGAGAAGAAUGAAGCCAGGGAGAGGUUUCUGAGUGUCCAGAUCAAAGACAGAAACAUAAUCUGUUGCAAAAUUUCUGCUCUUCUUGAGUUGCUGAAAGUAGUUCUUCCUGGUGCUAAAAGCUCCUUGAGAGAAGAGAAUAUGUCAGUUUUGUUCUCUGCUGUAACCUCAAUGCUGAGAGCAGGGUACAGAGUAAGUGCUCAAUAAAUAUUUGUUGAAUGAACAAGUGAAUAAGACCUCAAUGGAUAUAGAAGACAAAAUCUUCAGCAGCCUGCCCUCACCCAAGACAGAGCCGGCUUUGGAUAUUCUUUCUCCCAGAUCUCUCAAUGUGAGCCAAGAGCAAACUGUUAAAAGCCACUUGGGACACCUAUGUGGCCCUAAA